AGCAGCCGCGGUAAUUCCAGCUCCAAUAGCGUAUAUUAAAGUUGUUGCAGUUAAAAAGCUCGUAGUUGAAUUUCGGGAUUAGUACGCUGGUCGUGCCUUCGGUACGUACUGGUGUUACUGAUUUCUACCUUCUGACGAACCAUCAUGUCAUUAAUUUGGUGUGGUGGGGAAUCAGGACUGUUACUUUGAAAAAAUUAGAGUGUUUAAAGCAGGCUCGCGCUUGAAUACAUUAGCAUGGAAUAAUGAAAUAGGACGUUGAUCCUAUUUUGUUGGUUUCUAGGAUUGACGUAAUGAUUAAUAGGGAUAGUUGGGGGCAUUAGUAUUCAAUUGUCAGAGGUGAAAUUCUUGGAUUUAUUGAAGACUAACUACUGCGAAAGCAUUUGCCAAGGAUGUUUUCAUUAAUCAAGAACGAAAGUUAGGGGAUCGAAGACGAUCAGAUACCGUCGUAGUCUUAACCAUAAACUAUGCCGACUAGGGAUCGGAUGAUGUUAUUUUUAAUGACUCAUUCGGCGCCUUACG
Molecule: ribosomal RNA, 519 nt
Filed under: uncultured fungus
Lineage: Eukaryota; Fungi
Description: SSU rRNA
Rfam family: Eukaryotic small subunit ribosomal RNA
Source: RNAcentral